This 76-nucleotide transfer RNA is filed under the name Flammulina velutipes KACC42780. Its description in RNAcentral is "tRNA-Und (NNN) (tRNA-Und-NNN-3-1)". It matches the Rfam family "tRNA". From Rfam's summary of the family: Transfer RNA (tRNA) molecules are approximately 80 nucleotides in length. Their secondary structure includes four short double-helical elements and three loops (D, anti-codon, and T loops). Further hydrogen bonds mediate the characteristic L-shaped molecular structure. tRNAs have two regions of fundamental functional importance: the anti-codon, which is responsible for specific mRNA codon recognition, and the 3' end, to which the tRNAs corresponding amino acid is attached (by aminoacyl-tRNA synthetases). tRNAs cope with the degeneracy of the genetic code in two manners: having more than one tRNA (with a specific anti-codon) for a particular amino acid; and 'wobble' base-pairing, i.e. permitting non-standard base-pairing at the 3rd anti-codon position. Lineage: Eukaryota; Fungi; Basidiomycota; Agaricomycetes; Agaricales; Physalacriaceae. The record is from RNAcentral.
ACCGAUAUGGUGUAAUGGUUAACAUUGUCAUGAAUUCUUCGCGUGGCAGCUCGGGGUUCGAUUCCUCGUAUCGGCA